RNAcentral lists this ribosomal RNA (548 nucleotides) under uncultured Bifidobacterium sp. Its description in RNAcentral is "bacterial SSU rRNA". It matches the Rfam family "Bacterial small subunit ribosomal RNA", at positions 147 to 710 of the family's 1533-position model. Lineage: Bacteria; Bacillati; Actinomycetota; Actinomycetes; Bifidobacteriales; Bifidobacteriaceae. The record is from RNAcentral.
CUCCUGGAAACGGGUGGUAAUGCCGGAUGCUCCGCCCCCUCGCAUGGGGGGUCGGGAAGGCUUUUGCGGAAUGGGAUGGGGUCGCGUCCUAUCAGCUUGUUGGCGGGGCGACGGCCCACCAAGGCUUCGACGGGUAGCCGGCCUGAGAGGGCGACCGGCCACAUUGGGACUGAGAUACGGCCCAGACUCCUACGGGAGGCAGCAGUGGGGAAUAUUGCACAAUGGGGGGAACCCUGAUGCAGCGACGCCGCGUGCGGGAUGGAGGCCUUCGGGUCGUGAACCGCUUUUGAUUGGGAGCAAGCGUGAGUGAGUGUACCUUUCGAAUAAGCACCGGCUAACUACGUGCCAGCAGCCGCGGUAAUACGUAGGGUGCAAGCGUUGUCCGGAAUCAUUGGGCGUAAAGGGCUCGUAGGCGGUUCGUCGCGUCCGGUGUGAAAGCCCGUCGCUUAACGGUGGGUCUGCGCCGGGUACGGGCGGGCUUGAGUGCGGCAGGGGAGGCUGGAAUUCCCGGUGUAACGGUGGAAUGUGUAGAUAUCGGGAAGAACACC